GCUAAGGCCCCUAAAUGAUCGCUGAGUGAUGAAGGAGGUAGGAGUGCAAAGACAGUCAGGAGGUUCGCCUAGAAGCAGCGAUCCUUGAAAGAGUGCGUAAUAGCUUACUGCUCGAGCGCUCUUGCACCGAAGAUGAUCGGGACUAAGCGAUCUGCCGAAGCUGUGGGAUGUAAUAAAAAAUACAUCGGUAGGGGAGCGUUCCGCCUCAGAGAGAAGUAUCUGCGCGAGCAGAGUUGGACGAAGCGGAAGCGAGAAUGUCGGCUUGAGUAACGCAAACAUUGGUGAGAAUCCAAUGCCCCGAAAACCUAAGGAUUCCUCCGCAAGGUUCGUCCACGGAGGGUGAGUCAGGGCCUAAGAUCAGGCCGAAAGGCGUAGUUGAUGGACAACAGGUUAAUAUUCCUGUACUACCCUUUGUUGGUCCCGAGGGACGGAGUAGGCUAAGUUAGCCGUCUUAAUUAUGGUUUUACGGUUUAAGGUCAGAAGGUGACCCUGAAAAAGCGGGGUCAGAACGGGGUAGAGAAAAUACCUCGAGCCAAUGUCCGAAUUCCAGCGUGGCGUCAAAAAAGUAAAAAGAUAGACAACACGCUGGGCAACCCACGUCAUACUCCCAGGAAAAGCUCGAACGACCUUCAACAAACGGGUACCUGUACCUGAAACCGACACAGGUAGGUAGGUAGAG
This 679-nucleotide ribosomal RNA is filed under the name Cupressus sempervirens. RNAcentral's name for it is "bacterial LSU rRNA". It matches the Rfam family "Bacterial large subunit ribosomal RNA", at positions 1038 to 1676 of the family's 2925-position model. The record is from RNAcentral. Lineage: Eukaryota; Viridiplantae; Streptophyta; Pinopsida; Cupressales; Cupressaceae.